AUUCACCUUAGUCGAAGUUCAGCUGUGUUAGGACUUGGGUGAUCAAAUGCUGGUGGCUGCUGAACAGCAAUGAUUUCUCACAGGACUUGGAUCUGUGUGGUUUGAGCAGUGAGGAGCUGCAGACAUAAGUUGAGGACUUCUGGAUGCACAAGAAGAGGAGACUCCACCAGCAGGCUAGCAAAUCUUGGCCAAGGAUGGCUAGAGAAAGUUGGCUGUGGCCAAAACAUCCUAUUUCUGUUCUGACUGGAUGGGUGCUGAUGUUGAUGCAGCUGGGGUGGUAAGGGCAGCUGUGGGAGGCAAUCCUGCAGCCUCAGCUAUGUGCUGUGUGAUUGGGAGGGCCAGACUUGGCAGCAGCACUCGUGUUCAUCAGCUGGGGCACAGAAGAACAGUUUCUGCCAGCCACAACACUAAUGAGUACGUUCAAAAGGGUCUUAUGUCCAUUCACAGAAGAGCCCCAAGACCCCAUUUGCUGCCUGUGAAGUCUCGGGGUCCCCCUGUGCCUGAGAGGAUGGACCUUUAUUUCUGCCAUUUCAAAGCAUUUCAUCUUUGACCGGUGAAACAACAUUUCCCAUGUACAUGGAGAAUUCUGUCCUCUCAAGCCAGCAGCAGUCUGUCUGAGGGGAAACCCAUGUUUGCUCCUCUCCCAUGGGUGCUUUCCCAGUGCCUGCCUCAAGCUACCUGUCCUCUCUUGGGAUCCACCCUGACCACACAAGCAGUUGUGGAGGUGCGUGGUGUGGAGCAGAAACUCCUGGUGGUGGUGGGGCCCUGGCCAGCUGAGGACAGGAUUUUGUGGUUUGCUCUGCCUGACAGUUUUCUCCACCUGUGAGUGUUCUGUGCCCUUUUCUCCAGUGGUUUGCUUGGGGUGGCUCCAGCUCCCAACCCUCUGGAUCUUUGCAAUGGGAUAUUGUGUAUUUUCCACAUUGAGGGCCAUUCUGGAGGUUCCCAUCAGCAAAGGGGGAAGUCCAAGCUUUCAGGCAGAGGAUAGGAACUGAGAUUAAGGGUUGUUAUGGGAAAAAUUUGGCUGCAGAACCUGUCUGGGAGGUGCAGCAUCAACCUGGUUGAAAACUGACAUCAACGGCCCCUGGAAGGAAUUUUUGGAAGCCUGCUUGUUCUCCGCAGGGUAAAGGCGCUCCUGGGCCAGGAGACUAUUUUUUAUUACAGGGAUGAGCAUUUCUUAUUCCUCUGGAGGAACCAAAAGGUGUGGGAAGUCCAGGGGCGUAAUCACUUGUGGGUAGGUAAGCCAGGGCCCUGGCAGGAUGAAGAACAGCCAGGACCUGUGAGAAGAUGGCCAUGCAGGUGACAGAGGAGCACCUCUAUCCCAUCUCAUGGUGAGGGGGGACCUGCUGCCACAGCAGGAUAUCAGGGAGAGGAGGAAACACCCUUCAGUGGGAAAGGGCACGUGUGUCCUUCUGAAUUACAACCCUGGAAAAGAGGAGAGAUAAAACAGGCAACGGAUUACUGGGCCUCAUGGAGAGCCAAGGGCAGCCAACCCUGGAGAGUCAGCUGCUGCCACAGCAUUCCAUGUGGGCACAGCCACUCUGCAGGAGGUACAGUUCAAAGGAAGAAAAGAGGGAUGGCUGUGAUCAGAAGCAUUUUUCCGUGCCUGAGCUGUAGCACACAGCUGACUUAGAUGGCUGGUCCAAGAAGACCCCCAAGAGGUCAAGAGGCAGCUUUGCCCACUGACACCACUUGCCCUCAGUACAGCAAAGCAGGGAAGUACAACACAUGGAAUUCAGAGCUGCAACUGCUGCUUGCAGGAAAACAUUACUGCAUAGAGGAGCCCGGCCCAAACCCUCCCCAGCAAUGUGACAAGGAAGUGCAGAAGGGGAUGUGGAGACACGCAAUCAAAAAGAAGCUGAAGACAGAAGCUGUCAGCUCACAAGGAGCUCACAGACAUUUUGGGAAAGCAGGCCAGCAGGUCCCACACUGCUACAUGGUGGGAUCGCAGCAGACCCGCUGGGAUGAGGUUUUGCCUCAUGGCUUGUAAGACAUUAAUGACAAGUUCCAUAAAAAAUGUAUUUUUCUUUUUUAAA
Molecule: long non-coding RNA, 2033 nt
Organism: Empidonax traillii (willow flycatcher)
Lineage: Eukaryota; Metazoa; Chordata; Aves; Passeriformes; Tyrannidae
Exons: 9
Source: RefSeq, a predicted model, not a curated record